AUACGGAGGAUGCGAGCGUUAUCCGGAUUUAUUGGGUUUAAAGGGAGCGUAGGUGGGAUAUUAAGUCAGCUGUGAAAGUUUGGGGCUCAACCUUAAAAUUGCAGUUGAUACUGGUUUCCUUGAGUACGGUACAGGUGGGCGGAAUUCGUGGUGUAGCGGUGAAAUGCUUAGAUAUAAGGAAGAACUCCGGUGGCGAAGGCGGUCGUCUGGGCUGAAUCUGACGCUGAGGCACGAAAGCGUGGGGAGCAAACAGGAUUAGAUACCCUGGUAGUCCACGCCCUAAACUAUGAGGAGCAGGUGUUGGUAAGAGAUUAUCAGUGCCGAAGCUAACGCAAUGACUCCUCCGCCUGGGGAGUAUGCACGCAAGUGUGAAACUCAAAUGAAUUGACGG
RNAcentral lists this ribosomal RNA (391 nucleotides) under uncultured bacterium. RNAcentral's name for it is "partial 16S ribosomal RNA". It matches the Rfam family "Bacterial small subunit ribosomal RNA", at positions 523 to 916 of the family's 1533-position model. The record is from RNAcentral.